UACGGGGGGGGCAAGCGUUGUUCGGAAUUACUGGGCGUAAAGGCUCGUAGGCGGCCAACUAAGUCAUACGUGAAAUCCCCCGGCUUAACCGAGGAACUGCGUCUGAUACUGGAUGGCUUGAGUUCGGGAGAGGGAUGCGGAAUUCCAGGUGUAGCGGUGAAAUGCGUAGAUAUCUGGAGGAACACCGGUGGCGAAGGCGGCAUCCUGGACCGAUACUGACGCUGAGGAGCGAAAGCCAGGGAGCAAACGGG
RNAcentral lists this ribosomal RNA (251 nucleotides) under uncultured bacterium. Its description in RNAcentral is "partial 16S ribosomal RNA". It matches the Rfam family "Bacterial small subunit ribosomal RNA", at positions 524 to 776 of the family's 1533-position model. The record is from RNAcentral.